Molecule: ribosomal RNA, 1121 nt
Filed under: Thalloidima sedifolium
Lineage: Eukaryota; Fungi; Ascomycota; Lecanoromycetes; Lecanorales; Ramalinaceae
Description: SSU rRNA
Rfam family: Eukaryotic small subunit ribosomal RNA
Source: RNAcentral
GUGGUAAUUCUAGAGCUAAUACAUGCCAAAAACCCCGACUCCGGAAGGGGUGUAUUUAUUAGAUAAAAAACCGAUGCCCUCCGGGGCUCCUUGGUGAUUCAUAAUAACUCAACGAAUCGCAUGGCCUUGCGCCGGCGAUGGUUCAUUCAAAUUUCUGCCCUAUCAACUUUCGAAGUGAGGGUAGUGGCCUCACUUGGUUUCUACGGGUAACGGGGAAUUAGGGUUCGGUUCCGGAGAGGGAGCCUGAGAAACGGCUACCACAUCCAAGGAAGGCAGCAGGCGCGCAAAUUACCCAAUCCCGACACGGGGAGGUAGUGACAAUAAAUACUGAUGAUGAGCUCCUUUGGGUUUAUCAAUUGGAAUGAGUACAAUCUAAAUCCCUUAACGAGGAACAAUUGGAGGGCAAGUCUGGUGCCAGCAGCCGCGGUAAUUCCAGCUCCAAUAGCGUAUAUUAAAGUUGUUGCAGUUAAAAAGCUCGUAGUUGAAACUUGGGUCUGGCUGACCGGUCCGCCUAACCGCGUGCACUGGCUCGGCCGGGCCUUUCCUUCUGGGGAGCCUCAUGCCCUUCACUGGGUGUGCAGGGGAACCAGGACUUUUACUUUGAAAAAAUUAGAGUGUUCAAAGCAGGCCUAUGCUCGAAUACAUUAGCAUGGAAUAAUAGAAUAGGACGUGCGGUUCUAUUUUGUUGGUUUCUAGGACCGCCGUAAUGAUUAAUAGGGAUAGUCGGGGGCAUCUGUAUUCAAUUGUCAGAGGUGAAAUUCUUGGAUUUAUUGAAGACAAACUACUGCGAAAGCAUUUGCCAAGGAUGUUUUCAUUAAUCAGUGAACGAAAGUUAGGGGAUCGAAGACGAUCAGAUACCGUCGUAGUCUUAACCAUAAACUAUGCCGACUAGGGAUCGGACGGUGUUAUUAUUUUGACCCGUUCGGCACCUUACGAGAAAUCAAAGUUUUUGGGUUCUGGGGGGAGUAUGGUCGCAAGGCUGAAACUUAAAGAUAUUGACGGAAGGGCACCACCAGGCGUGGAGCCUGCGGCUUAAUUUGACUCAACACGGGGAAACUCACCAGGUCAGGACAGAAUAAGGAUUGACAGAUUGAAAGCUCUUUCUUGAUUUUUUGGGUGGU